GCCCGACAAAAGUUAACAGCUUGCAUCAGUUCCCUGAGAAGUUCUUACAAACCAAUCUCUUAAAAAUGAAACUAUUUCUGCCCUGUGCUGUUUUGCUGGCCGUGAUCGCUCUUUGCCAGGGAGUGCCAAAUGAUGCCAACAAUGCCAACAAGAAUGCCCGUACAGCAAAUGACGCAAACAACAACGCGGGAAAUUCGAAUAAUAACUGAGCUCAUGUCGUAAGCUGUGCUUGCUUCAUAAAUCAUUCGACAAUUUCAAGAAUGUAACAAACAUGCAGCAAAUAAAAAAUAUAUAAAAAAU
Long non-coding RNA from Drosophila innubila, 300 nucleotides. RefSeq lists it as uncharacterized. The transcript has 2 exons. NCBI's taxonomy places the organism in Eukaryota, Metazoa, Arthropoda, Insecta, Diptera, Drosophilidae. The record is from RefSeq and is a predicted model, not a curated record.